GAAACCCUUUAGGUCUGAUUUCCUUCUUUGUUUCUCAUUUUUUAUUUAAAAUACAUAUUACCAACCCGAUCUUGUUGAUGACAAUGUAAGAGUCCAUUUGGACUUUAUGGCAUUGGGUUUGGAUUACAAAACUAAUAAUUCUGCCUCCAUUUUUAAAUGCACUGGGCUGACUUCACUUCAGAGGAGCUUCACACCUGGAAGGUUUUGAUAAAUCUCAAAUUCGAUUGAAGAUUCCUGAAUUGGACUGCAAUGCAUCGAUCUUGUUCAUCUCUGUUUCUCUCCAUAAAUGUAUGUAUGUUUCCUGAUGCUGAAGCGGGUGAGGUUCCUGUCGUGUAUGUCAUCCGCUCACCCAAGAGCUCACUGACUGAAGAACAUGUUAAGGAAUUUAUUGCAAAGCAGGUAUGGGCUUCUCACCUUUAUUCUAGAUCAUCACCAUUUUAUUUACUGCUUGUUUUCCCAAUGUCAGGCCUAUUUGUGCUUCUUCUGGUGCAUGUUUGUCCAGCAUGAGUGGUUGGCACAUGGUAAUUUUGUAGGAGACGUUUAAAAACUGAAAAGAUGUGCACCUCUGGUUUUAACAGGAUCUUGACUUUGGUGUAAGCCAGGAGUCGGUUACAUCAAUCUCCUGUUGUCCAUUGAUGUCUGAUGGGAAUCUCAAAAAUGCAUUUAAAAAUGGAAUUUGAGAUGUGUUGGGAUUCCCUCU
Magnolia sinica is the source of this 700-nucleotide long non-coding RNA. RefSeq lists it as uncharacterized. The record is from RefSeq and is a predicted model, not a curated record. The transcript is spliced from 3 exons. NCBI's taxonomy places the organism in Eukaryota, Viridiplantae, Streptophyta, Magnoliopsida, Magnoliales, Magnoliaceae.